GGCGCCAUAGCCAAGUGGCUAAGGCAGGGGCCUGCAAAGCCCUGAUCCCCGGUUCGAAUCCGGGUGGCGCCUCCA
This 75-nucleotide transfer RNA is filed under the name Nautilia lithotrophica. RNAcentral's name for it is "tRNA-Cys". It matches the Rfam family "tRNA". From Rfam's summary of the family: Transfer RNA (tRNA) molecules are approximately 80 nucleotides in length. Lineage: Bacteria; Pseudomonadati; Campylobacterota; Epsilonproteobacteria; Nautiliales; Nautiliaceae. RNAcentral also lists the same sequence under 11 other names. The record is from RNAcentral.